This 440-nucleotide ribosomal RNA is filed under the name uncultured bacterium. RNAcentral describes it as "partial 16S ribosomal RNA". It matches the Rfam family "Bacterial small subunit ribosomal RNA", at positions 338 to 795 of the family's 1533-position model. The record is from RNAcentral.
CCUACGGGUGGCAGCAGUAGGGAAUUUUGCGCAAUGGGCGAAAGCCUGAUGCAGCAACGCCGCGUGAUCGAGACGGGCUUUGGGGUGUAAAGACUUGUUUGUGGGGGCGAAAAUUGACGGUACCUACUGAGGAAGCACCGGCUAACUCCGUGCCAGCAGCCGCGGUAAUACGGCGGGUGCAAGCGUUGUCCGGAUUCAUUGGGCGUAAAGAGUUCGUAGGCGGCACGACAAGUCUGGUGUUAAAGGCAGGGGCUUAACUUCUGUACGGCAGUGGAUACUUGCGAGCUAGAGUGCGGUAGAGGUAAGGGGAAUGCCUGGUGUAGCGGUGAAAUGCUUAGAUAUCAGGAGGAACAUCGGUGGCGAAGGCGGUUUACUGGACCGUAAUUGACGCUGAGGAACGAAAGCGAGGGUAGCAAACAGGAUUAGAUACCCGUGUAGUC